GAUCAAUAUAGACCACCUCAUACAUUAUGUCCAGCCAGAGGAGAGGGUCCCUGCCAAACUAAGAAAGGUGUUAGUUUCCUCUCCUCUGGCUGGUCCAUCACAUACAGAUACACAACAGAUACACACACAGCACACAUGCACACACAUCCUCUGGGACACGAGGCUGCCAAAAAGCCCCAAGACCUUCACAGGAUACAGAACACUUAAUCAGGGACAUAUGGGCAGGUGGCCGAGCAGAGACCCUAUGGUCCAAGGUUGGGCCAUACAAGGUCUUUUCUGGAACAUUACAACACCUGGCCCCAGGAAAGGAGUUGGAGACGGAGGUAAUCUCUUGUUUUAAGUGCUCAUUGUUGUUUGAAUAUUUUUCUCUCAGUUAACCAAAUGUAGAGUUGUCACUCUUGUACUCACAGAUUGUCAAUGCAUAUCUACUGAUUAUCUGUAACAAGACGGGCACACAAAUGGUAGACUCUUUCGCCAUGUCUGACGUCUGGCAGAGAUCCCAGAGACGAUAUAAAAGACUGGAUCUUGUCAACCACGACGUGGCAGCUGGAGCUGUAUGUCAUCAGGGACACUGGACUCUUACUGUGAGUAAUUGUUAACUGAGUGGAUACAAAUCAUGUGACUGUCCGGUGUACAAGUGGAUGGCUGUAAUCAUCAUUUGCAUUUCCAUGUAUAAUGUAUCUGAGGGAAAACAGAGCCCUGUAUGUGGACCCAUUUUCGGCAACAAAACAACAAGUGGACCAAUGCAGGGAUGUGACAAGAGCACUUGUUCGUAGACAUUGUCCAGCCAUCGGACGAUGGGCCUGCUCCACAUUGGACCACCUGAGGCAGCUGGACUCCACAUCAUGUGCUUGCAGAGCAGAUCAUGCUGGAGGGAAAGAUAGACUACCCUGUGGACCAGCAGAGUGUGAACCGCAUGAGACUCGAAAUGGCAACGGCCCUGAUGACUAACGAUGAUGACCUGUCGGCGCUGUGUCGGGCUUGUGGGGAGGAGAGCUCAGGGGCUGAUGUGGAUGAGUGGGUAAGAGUGAAUUUUCAUGUUGACUGACAACUAAAUGGAACAUGGGGAUCCACCCUGGAUAGGUUACCUCCACAACACUGGGUGAACUGUCCCUAUCUAUCACACGGCUACUGAAAAUGCAUAGUUUCAUUAUACUCACUUGCAUGUCUUUGCACUUCCUGAGGACACUGAUGCUGCUGAAGGAACACUGACUCCACACUGACAGGACCGACCCAAGCUAGGGUUUUAAACCCAAAUCUAGCACACAUUGUCACAAUAUCUUGAACAGUGACACACAGUAUUGAUGUGUACUCGGUGUUAGACUACUUAAUUCAUUGUACACACCCUUCUCUGACUGUGACGCUUACCUGUUUACCAAAAUCUGACAUCUGUUUUUCUGUUUCCCUUUCAGAUUAAGUGCACCACAUGCAGCAUGUGGUAUCACACGACAUGUGUUGGUCAUCCCUCGACUGAGGGGGACUACUUUUGUAAAGGCUGUAACAGCCUAUAGUCAUUUUAGUCUGCCAAUAAACAUGUGCAGCUGUCACGGCCCUAGUGGGGUGCCUGUGUCUCUACUCCCUCAUGGGGGUGCAGAGUUCCACCAGGGCACCAGGUGUCUCUCUAUUAUUGUUUUCCAGGCUGAGUCCAGAGAGGAAGCAGAGCUGGCUGCUGAUUGGCUUACACCAAGGGCCCAAUGAAGCCUAACUUUUAAAUCUGAGGAGCUGCCAGUUUUCUCUCUCUCUCCACCCUGAUGCAGGCUCUCUGCUUGGUGCCUGCCUGAUUGCAGGCCACAUGCUGGCUGAGCUCUUGGUUCAUUCAGUUGUUUUAUUCUUCAUUUUCCUUAGUUUGUAGAUCUACAGCAGUUGUACAGUUAUUUUGUAAAUAAAUUCUUCAUUGUUAUCUUGCAACCCCUUGUGUGUUCUCCCAUUUUUGUCCAGUUUCUGAGCCAGACUGUGACACAGCAUACACACAUAAUUGUAUCUGUUCUAUCAAGUUGUGAUUAAUUGAAUGAUGCUGAGUUAAUAUCAUUGUGAUUAAUGCUCAAGCUCGAGGUUUGGUCGCUUAUGUGGCUGAGGACAAAAAAGAAACAUUAACUCACACUGAAAUAGACUGAAAUAUAAUUUGUACUGUAUUUAAUUUUUGUUCCUUAGUGAUUUUUAAAUCCAGGCUGCUGCUAUGUGUUCAAUGCAGCUACUUUUUAUAAAUUUUCACAAACACAGGGAGGACUUAAGGAAAUCUGCAUAUAAAGUUCUGUAUUGUUACUGUUUCUAUCUAUUGUAGGUCCUUUUAUUUCAUAAAUGCAAUGAAACAUGGCAUCAUGGAAAUGCACGAUUAAGAACCCUAAACUGUAAGCAUAAGUAAAGUUGCCACAUCAUGUGAAAAUUCAAAUGAAUACUCAUUAAGGCCCAUUAAUACUCCUGAUAGGCUUAGUUAGACUUCUGGACUGCGUUACCUUCAUUAUAAGACACAAAUGUGUUUUGCGGCCCCAGACAUAUUUUUUUGUGGCAAGGGACGGGGGACAAAAUAGCUCUUUUAAGGUAAAGGGUGCUGACACCUGCCCUAACUUCUGGUGAGGAGUUGACCUUCCUUCUGAUAUCCAUCGUUAUACCUUGAGAAGAGUGAGACACAUGUCUGGGCUUUCCUAAGAACCACGGUCGAUACAGGUGUUUGUAUCACAGGUUGAUCUGGGCGUCUCAGGCUUUGCCUCAGCUGACCUGCUGAGUUCGGGCUGGAUGUCAACGUACUCUGCAGACUGUUUGACGAGCAGGCUGUGACAGUGUAUACAGUUAGUUUUCACAUCGACUUGGCUUAAGCUUAAUAACGAUGUAUGCGGCUGGGAACGAUUACUUUAAUUAACCAUUUGAACGCAGUGCAGAAUGAAAUAAAUACCCGAUGAUAACAGUGUCACAAGUUAACCUGGACGCUGCGCACUCAGCGCCACAGCGAACAGCGGUCUCGAAGCUGCUCUCAAACUCAAUCGGCGUGAACAAAUGCCUCCGACUGUUCCACCCACCAGCUGUGUGUAAGUACAGACAUUCACGCCAAAGAUAUAAGACCGACAACAUGCACUUUUGUACGAUUUAUUGACAGUUGUGUUUUUUUUGGACAGGCAUCGACACAGUCACCUACACUGUCACUGUGCUCUAUAGCACUC
RNAcentral lists this long non-coding RNA (3155 nucleotides) under Sparus aurata (gilthead seabream). Its description in RNAcentral is "lncRNA (ENSSAUG00010021580.1)". The record is from RNAcentral. Lineage: Eukaryota; Metazoa; Chordata; Actinopteri; Spariformes; Sparidae.